AAAUUGAAGAGUUUGAUCAUGGCUCAGAUUGAACGCUGGCGGCAGGCCUAACACAUGCAAGUCGAGCGGAAACGAGUUAUCUGAACCUUCGGGGGACGAUAACGGCGUCGAGCGGCGGACGGGUGAGUAAUGCCUAGGAAAUUGCCCUGAUGUGGGGGAUAACCAUUGGAAACGAUGGCUAAUACCGCAUGAUGCCUACGGGCCAAAGAGGGGGACCUUCGGG
This 223-nucleotide ribosomal RNA is filed under the name Vibrio alginolyticus. Its description in RNAcentral is "partial 16S ribosomal RNA". It matches the Rfam family "Bacterial small subunit ribosomal RNA", at positions 1 to 224 of the family's 1533-position model. The record is from RNAcentral. RNAcentral also lists the same sequence under 1 other name. Lineage: Bacteria; Pseudomonadati; Pseudomonadota; Gammaproteobacteria; Vibrionales; Vibrionaceae.